CCAAUUUCCAUCUGAAUGAAUAAAGCCCCACUGAGAGGCAGGGACCGGCCCGCCGCUCCGGCCCCAAAUACCCGACGACCACUGGAGCAAAUGGGUAUACAAAGCAGAAGAAAAGAACGAGCCCAGGAGAGGGGGCGAGGGGGGGGGGGGGGGGGUCCUCUAAAGACAUGUUUAUAUACGUUAAAGAAAAUGCAAAUGUGUCCCGUGAGGAACAGAGAUCUCUGAGACUCUCUAAUGCCGCUGUUGUUGAACUCACGUGCAGACUGGCGAGAUCGACACGGCGCUCACGUGAAAGGGGUGUGUGUGUGUGUGUGCGUCCUUCACAAAUGGCAGCUUUGCGCAGAGGAUGAAAAAUCCAAUCCAACAUUGUAAAGAGAGAGAAAGUUUUAACCCACGAGGCCAAACUCAACACUUAGUGUGUAGUUUGCUUUGACUGCUUUGUGUUUCUGUGUGUGAGACAGAAUGCUGAGCGACCUGAACAAGAAACACCACGGCUGUCACACGGCGCCCGGGCAGCGCGUCACGUCCCAGCUGGGACCCAAUGGGCUUUUCCUGCUGCUCUCUGGGAGCAGAAUCCUGUCCAUCAGUCCAUCCGUUGACCUGUAGCUUCGUAUUCAGCUCAUGAAGUAUUCACUAAUGUUUAGAAGUCCUGAACAGGGUUCCUAAGGUGUGAUGGUGUCCAUCCACUACAGCUGCAAACGUCAUUAUUGUAUUUUUAUUCACACAUGGAUGCCUGUACACUGUUGAAGUGGGGAGGGGGCUGCUGGAGAAAUCCCCUGCAGUUAUUCAUAUAUUCUUUGAACUUAGAGAGAAAGUCAACAUCCUCCCAACUUGUUUUAACUUAAUUUAAACAAUUACGUCUUAUUGGAAUUUUUAAUGGACAAUGAAUGAACAUAUCAAUUAUUGAAAGACAAGCGCUGCUGUAUUCCACAUGUGACAAAGCGUGUGGAACCUUGUUUUGGGGGGACAAAAGGAUCAUAAUCUAUAAAGCUUAUCUAAACCCUUUUUUAAAUAUAAAUGUUGGUUUUGCUGUGAUGUCCUUAAAUAAUACCAGAAUGGCGUCUCUUCAUGGUGGGACAGGCCUGACUGUGUCCAACUGCAAGCUGCUCGACUAGAUGUUGUCCAGUCAGGUGUCUCCUGUUUGACUUUCUGUGGCAGAUGGGUUCUUUAUAGAACAUGCCAACCGAUAUUAGCUUCUGUACGGCAAGACGAGUGCUGCCCCUGAAAGGCUGUGCAUGUGUGUGUGAGGGGGAGAGAGAGAGAGAAAGAGAGGGGCAAAGGGAGGGGUGAGGGAGGGAGAUUGAACUUCAAUUGUGAAGAAUGAGAAGAGAAAAUCUCUUAGAGCCGUGACGGGGCCCGGUCCUCUGUAAAUGCAUUUUAAUAGGAGGGACCCUGAUGUCUAUGGCAAUUCAUCUCCAAUCUCCCUGUAAGGAGAAGAAUGGUGGUGCAGCGCCGGGCUGGAGCAGUGGGUGUGGGAGUGGGGAUGGAGCAGUGGUACACAAAGGCUGCAUUUGGCUUUGCCUCAUUAUGCUGCAGUUAGAAGGGCUGCACGGAGGCUGCGGGGGUUCGAUUCCCCACAGACCAGCUCAGGGCAACAAUACCGGCAUGGAAGGCAGCGAAGGGAGACCCUGCCAAGCCAUUAUCCCGCCGCCGCUAACGAGGGCUUCAUACGCCUUUGAUAUAAUCUCACUAUUGAAUUCCUGAUAAAUCCCCUCCUGCGUUUUCAGCCAAAUCCCAUUUGUAACGGACUCGCCAAACACAGUGAGUGAGUGUGUGAGUGUGUGUGUGUGUGUGUGUGUGUGUGUGUCGUCGUCACCUGCGCCUCUCUGUUCUGGCAGCCGAGGCCGAGGGGAGAUGCAUGUUAAACCGGCCCGUUACACUGGCUUUGAUACAAAUCCCCUCUUACGCGCACGAGACGUCUCGUGAGCCAAUCUGAGUUGAGACCCAAUUGUAAUACAAUGUAUGUUUAAGUGGAUAUAGUCCCUUUCUUUCCCCACAUAUUAUCUGAUAGUCAAACAAUAACUGGAUUACAACACACGAGGGGACAAAUGAUGGAAGUCGGAGCAAAUUAAUGGAAUUUAUUAAUGAGGAAAAAUGAGCCAUAAAACGAGACUAUUCCCACCAGUUACAUUGUUAGAAUGCAGCUCAGCCAUUACUCCGCUUGUUAAGCUGCCUCAGCAUCACGGGGCUGUCAGAAGGGCAUCGCAUGAAACCCUGUCUGUCUGGGUGGGUGGCUCGGGGAAGGUGGAAGUGAAAUAAAGGCAUAUCACGUCAUGUUAUUCUAUAGAGGUGAAGAGGUCACCGGGACAGCUCGGCCCCCGGUCGCUGCUGCUUUGGCUCCAGGGGGCCACACGGGGGGCAUCUAACCGAAAAGUGUGAGAGCAUAAAUGUCUUUGCCCCUAUAUGAGCAUCCUGAGCAGACACUAUUUAAAUGCUUUGUCCUCUAACUCAGGGACACUGCGCAUCUCUGCCCCCCCCCC
Long non-coding RNA from Gasterosteus aculeatus aculeatus (three-spined stickleback), 2480 nucleotides. Lineage: Eukaryota; Metazoa; Chordata; Actinopteri; Perciformes; Gasterosteidae. The record is from Ensembl.